Molecule: ribosomal RNA, 189 nt
Filed under: uncultured bacterium
Lineage: Bacteria
Description: partial 16S ribosomal RNA
Rfam family: Bacterial small subunit ribosomal RNA
Source: RNAcentral
CCUACGGGAGGCAGCAGUGAGGAAUAUUGGUCAAUGGGCGCAAGCCUGAACCAGCCAUGCCGCGUGCAGGAUGACGGUCCUAUGGAUUGUAAACUGCUUUUGUACAGGAAGAAACCCUCCUACGUGUAGGAGCUUGACGGUACUGUAAGAAUAAGGAUCGGCUAACUCCGUGCCAGCAGCCGCGGUAAU